GAUGAACGCUGGCGGCGUGCCUAAUACAUGCAAGUCGAGCGAAGCGGCGACGGGCGAGUAACACGUGGCUAACCUCCUAUAAGUCUGGGAUAACUACGGGUAACCGUAGCUACACCGGAUCCUUAAUGAUCGAUCCGCGCUGCAUUAGCUAGUUGGUAAGGUAACGGCUUACCAAGGCAACGAUGCCUAGCCGACCUGAGAGGGGGAUCAGCCACACUGGAACUGAGACACGGUCCAGACUCCUACGGGAGGCAGCAGUAGGGAAUCGUGCGCAAUGGGCGAAAGCCGGACGGAGCAACGCCGCGUGAGUGAUGAAGGUCUUCGGAUCGUAAAACUCUGUUAGUAAGGAAGCGGUACCUAAUCAGGAAGCCACGGCUAACUACGUGCCAGCCGCCGCGGUAAUAC
Molecule: ribosomal RNA, 405 nt
Filed under: uncultured bacterium
Lineage: Bacteria
Description: partial 16S ribosomal RNA
Rfam family: Bacterial small subunit ribosomal RNA
Source: RNAcentral